RNAcentral lists this ribosomal RNA (207 nucleotides) under uncultured bacterium. RNAcentral describes it as "partial 16S ribosomal RNA". It matches the Rfam family "Bacterial small subunit ribosomal RNA", at positions 568 to 774 of the family's 1533-position model. The record is from RNAcentral.
AGCGCAGGCGGACCGGCAAGUUGGGAGUGAAAUCCAUGGGCUCAACCCGUGAAUUGCUUUCAAAACUGCUGGCCUUGAGUAGUGCAGAGGUAGGUGGAAUUCCCGGUGUAGCGGUGGAAUGCGUAGAUAUCGGGAGGAACACCAGUGGCGAAGGCGACCUACUGGGCACCAACUGACGCUGAGGCUCGAAAGUGUGGGUAGCAAACA